This 865-nucleotide ribosomal RNA is filed under the name uncultured bacterium. Its description in RNAcentral is "bacterial SSU rRNA". It matches the Rfam family "Bacterial small subunit ribosomal RNA", at positions 8 to 853 of the family's 1533-position model. The record is from RNAcentral.
AGAGUUUGAUCCUGGCUCAGGACGAACGCUGGCGGGCGUGCGUAAUACCGUGCAAGUAGAACGCUGAAGACUGGUGCUUGCAAUAGUCAGAUGAGUUGCGAACGGGUGAGUAACGCGUAGGUAACCUACCUUAUAGCGGGGGAUAACUAUUGGAAACGAUAGCUAAUACCGCAUGACAAUUAAGUACUCAUGUACUAAAUUUAAAAGGAGCAAUUGCUUCACUAUGAGAUGGACCUGCGUUGUAUUAGCUAGUUGGUGAGGUAACGGCUCACCAAGGCCACGAUACAUAGCCGACCUGAGAGGGUGAUCGGCCACACUGGGACUGAGACACGGCCCAGACUCCUACGGGAGGCAGCAGUAGGGAAUCUUCGGCAAUGGGGGCAACCCUGACCGAGCAACGCCGCGUGAGUGAAGAAGGUUUUCGGAUCGUAAAGCUCUGUUGUUAGAGAAGAACGGUAAUGGGAGUGGAAAAUCCAUUACGUGACGGUAACUAACCAGAAAGGGACGGCUAACUACGUGCCAGCAGCCGCGGUAAUACGUAGGUCUCGAGCGUUGUCCGGAUUUAUUGGGCGUAAAGCGAGCGCAGGCGGUUAUUUAAGUCUGAAGUUAAAGGCCGUGGCUCAACCAUGGUUCGCUUUGGAAACUGGAUAACUUGAGUGCAGAAGGGGAGAGUGGAAUUCCAUGUGUAGCGGUGAAAUGCGUAGAUAUAUGGAGGAACACCGGUGGCGAAAGCGGCUCUCUGGUCUGUAACUGACGCUGAGGCUCGAAAGCGUGGGGAGCAAACAGGAUUAGAUACCCUGGUAGUCCACGCCGUAAACGAUGAGUGCUAGGUGUUAGGCCCUUUCCGGGGCUUAGUGCCGCAGCU